AUCAAACCCGAUAAGGGGUUAAACAAAACCCCCCAAUCAAACUUUCAUCGAGAAAAACCCCAAACCUAUUCAUAGUUCCCUCAAUCAAUUUUCUAAAAACUACCCGAAACCCACUGUUUGGGAUUUAAUCACAUGACCAUUUAGCCUCUCAUCCUUGAAGACCACCACUCCGGCCAUGGGAGCUCGCAACACUAAGGAUUUAAGAAAAAAACUCACAUCACUCUUACCUACCUCCGGUGAUGAUGGUAUCUUGGCAAAGAGACCCUAAGAUCUAUGACUCAUUAACCUCGACUACACUUAUACCCGAAGUUCCCUCUAAUAUCUAAGAGCAAUCGAUUGCAAAAGCUGGUGAAAGUAUUUAUGUUACAACGAAAUAUUCCACAAGUCAU
Long non-coding RNA from Hibiscus syriacus, 389 nucleotides. RefSeq lists it as uncharacterized. The record is from RefSeq and is a predicted model, not a curated record. The transcript is spliced from 3 exons. NCBI's taxonomy places the organism in Eukaryota, Viridiplantae, Streptophyta, Magnoliopsida, Malvales, Malvaceae.